RNAcentral lists this long non-coding RNA (762 nucleotides) under Pan troglodytes (chimpanzee). RNAcentral describes it as "long non-coding RNA NONPTRT013565". The record is from RNAcentral. Lineage: Eukaryota; Metazoa; Chordata; Mammalia; Primates; Hominidae.
UAGAGGGGUGCACAGGGAGUGGCACGGCAAAGGGAAUUGCCCCUCAGGAGCAGAGGGUUAUGUCAGAGGGGAGGCACGAACCAGGUCGCAUAGCACUUUCUAGGACGUAAUGAGUGUGGAUUCUAUGUUGCCAUGGGAAGCCAGCAUCCUUGCACGAGGUGGUUAAGUGCUGAGAGAAGAUAAAUCAGAUUAAGGGGCUAGAGACAGACUGGAAGCCUGGGGAAGCUAUUUGAAACAAAUGGGCAGAGGAGCUCUCUCUGAGGAAGUGACUUUAGGGCUGAGUCUUGAAAUAUCUGAAGUAGCGACCAUGCAGAUUUCUGGGAUAAGCCAGUUCCAGGCAGAAAAAAUAGCACUGAAGUGGGAAUAAGCAUCACAUAUCCUGGAAAGAGCAAGAAGGUCAGCGUGGCCAGGGCACAAUACCAGAGGAAGCAGGGGGAGGAGGCCAGCCCUGUGGAGGCCGUGGGACGGUACUUGGCUUUUAUUCUAAAUACACUGGGAAGAUUUUCGAGGACUGUAAGUAGAAAUGACAUGCUUGCUUGUUUUUCGAGGGAACUGGCUGAAAACCCAGUAGAUUUUGGUGGCUGUUCUUGACUAAGAAGAGUGUGGAACAAAGUCACAGAGCCACGGCCCCAGACAAGACCUGGAUGAAGCGCUACAGCCUGGUAGUGCCAAGACUGGGAGGGAAAGAGAAGAGCGCUAUGAGACAGAAUCCAGAAGCAAGGAGAGGAAGGAAAGGCCUUGGACCCCCUAAGGAGAAGGAGG